RNAcentral lists this ribosomal RNA (303 nucleotides) under Triticum aestivum (bread wheat). Its description in RNAcentral is "partial small subunit ribosomal RNA". The record is from RNAcentral. Lineage: Eukaryota; Viridiplantae; Streptophyta; Magnoliopsida; Poales; Poaceae.
AUGAUCAGUGGGGCUUCAAAUACGCUGCAGAUUCUGACACCGAUGAAUGGUGGCAAAGCUGUAGAUAUGAACAUGGAAGCUGAGAUCUCAGCCCAGGAUGUCAUGCGAGCCGGCGGCUUCGGUGCCAAAGACGACAUCGGCAGCCUCCUACCGACGGCGAUGGACUCCACUGACUUCGAGGCCUCGCUGUGGGACGCCCGCGACUUUGAAGGCGUGAAGGAGCAGCCAUCGCGACCCGGGCUGUGUUACGGGGCAUCUGAAGCUGACGCCACAAGCAAGCCGUGCGACGCGCUACGGCAGUGA